RNAcentral lists this ribosomal RNA (134 nucleotides) under uncultured bacterium. RNAcentral describes it as "partial 16S ribosomal RNA". It matches the Rfam family "Bacterial small subunit ribosomal RNA", at positions 398 to 524 of the family's 1533-position model. The record is from RNAcentral.
CGCGUGUAUGAAGAAGGCCUUCGGGUUGUAAAGUACUUUCAGCGGGGAGGAAGGGAGUAAAGUUAAUACCUUUGCUCAUUGACGUUACCCGCAGAAGAAGCACCGGCUAACUCCGUGCCAGCAGCCGCGGUAAU